This 245-nucleotide transfer-messenger RNA is filed under the name Alphaproteobacteria bacterium HGW-Alphaproteobacteria-4. RNAcentral describes it as "partial transfer-messenger RNA". It matches the Rfam family "Alphaproteobacteria transfer-messenger RNA", at positions 1 to 244 of the family's 355-position model. Rfam says of the family: Bacterial tmRNA, also known as 10Sa RNA or SsrA, is named for its dual tRNA and mRNA-like properties. Its role is to liberate the mRNA from a stalled ribosome. Lineage: Bacteria; Pseudomonadati; Pseudomonadota; Alphaproteobacteria. The record is from RNAcentral.
GCGCUUGCGGCCGCCCCCACCGCUGCCUAUAUUGACCCUGUCCGGGGCAACCCGGACUAUGGACAUAAACGCGCUCGUAAUACGCGGAUCGGACCCGGGGGCGGUACCCGGCGGCUCCACCAACCACUCCCUCAUUGGGGGCAAAUGGGGCCGAAACAGGAUCGACGAACGUCUAAAGGGGUUAUGCUUUGUCUCGGUGAGCUACCACCGUUAUCGGUGCAAAAGUACAGUUGCCAAUGACAACC